CUGUUUCACCACUUGAGGAGAAAACUGGAGUUCAGGCAGACACUGAAUCAUGAUGCAUCUACUGGCUGCCUCAUGGCUGCUGCCUUCUGGUGCACACUCAUUAGUCAACUGCUGGACAGGAUGAUCUUGCUGUUGAAAGGAAGAGGCUUACCCACCGGCCAGAAAGCUGAGACACCGCCGAAAAGCUUGCACUCUUCGAGGAGCUGGUCUGACAACUCCAAGUACUCCCCGGAAGUGAAGACUACUUGGGGGACUUUUUGCUAACUAAAUCACCACCACUACCACCACCACCACACCAUAAAACUCACCCACCAAGAGACCAGGUCCCUAUGACUCAAGCCGCACAGCCAGAGGGACAGUACUAACUGCAGGAGCGUUCCAGUAUCAGCUGCUCUACAUAUCACUCCUCCAGAUGGCAUGCCGCUGGGUCUGUGAGUCCAGCCUUCCACGGUGGAGAUGUCACCACUGACCUAUAAUACUCAGAAUGACACACUGUCUCUGCAGGUGGCCCCUUGACGUGCUUCACAGCAGAGUGUUAAAAACAAGAUAAACAGUACUGUUUAUUUACUUUUUACAAUGCUGUUAAAACAAAUGCCUUGAAUGGAACCCUGGCGGCUGCAGUCUGCUUGCCAGUCCUGGGAAGUACAAAGUGCCUAUGUGAAAUCUGUUUCCAAAUUCCCAAUUGUAGGUGUGCUGAUAGCUCUUUUGCUCACACACACACACACCCAUCUCAGAGACUCCGGCUGUGUGUGGUUGAUCCCAAAUAGUCCUCUGAUUCCGUUCUUAAUUUGUGAUAAAAUGUGUGAUAUAGGAAAGAAGCUGUUGGCAAUUGAUUUUAGAAAUUUCUAGUUCAUCACUCAUCUUCCCAGCUGUGUUAUCAUCAGAUUACUCAUCUUCCCGCCCACGCAAUCAUCAGAUCACUCACUGUACACAUUAAGAUGGAUAUACUUUUUUUUUUUUUUCCGGCACUGGGAAUCGAACUCACGACCUCGUGCUUGCCAGGCAGGCACUGUGCAACUGAGCUAAAUCCUCAGCCCUAAGAUGAAGCACAGUAAGGAGGACAUAUGCCACGGACCAGAGGUGUAGCUCAGGACUUGUCUACGCACGCAGGAGGCCUUGCGCUCCAUCCCUAGAGCGACCCCACACACAUACUCAAGAAGCUAUAGCCACAGUCCAAAAGGAACACGACAUGACAACAAAAAAUCAUCUUGGCAAUCCACUGAACAAGGGAAAACUUUUCUCAGCACUGUAAAGAAAAAUAGUAAAAUCAAGAAAGAAGUUUAAAAGACAAUUUACAGGACAAUGAAAAUUCAAACAUUGAAUUCUGUUUUAUACAAGUAGGCUUUACUACUCAUGUCCCUUUUACAGAAAAACAAACAAAAAUAUCCAGUGAUUUUGAGAUGUUUUGGGGGAACAGUCCCUAUACUUAACUUGAAAAGCAAAGUUACUAGCAAUCACAAAAGUAUUGCUAGUGUGUUCACUUCCUAGGCCUCCAGCGAGAACUGUGUCUAGCAGGAAGUUUGAAGCACUUAAAAACCACAGACAUACACAUGAUCGCUCUUAGAAAGUACUUUUCUUAUAAACCCUAGGUUUUUUUGUUUUGUUUUGUUUUGUUUUUGGUACCAGGAAUCAAACUCAGCACCUUGCGCUUGCCAGGCAGGUGCUUGUGCCGCUGAGCUAUAUCCCUGGCUCAACCCUAUGUUUUUAGCUGGACCAGCUUAAACAAUUAGGCAGGUUCUUAUCUUCAACCACUGAACCUUUCUUCUCUACAAAACAUUCCUCUUCAUGUUAGUGAAAAGCUGUAGUCUCUCAUCCAUGGGAAGGGCGAAACAGCUCCUUGUUUCAGGUGGACCAACUCUUUCCUUUUUAUUAUUUUGGUACUUGGAAUGAAGCACUGAGCUAUAUCUCCAGGUUUUUUUAGGUCACUAAAUUGUCUAGGGUGGGAUUCAACUUGAGAUCUUCCUGCCUCAGCCUCCGUCACUUAUUUUGAGGCUAUUGAUAUGUGAACAACCUCCUCAUUAAAUGCCUGGCUGUCCACCCUGUGUAAGUGGGUCACUCAGAAGCUCUAUGUAUAUGGUGACGUUUGCAACUGUGGACUUCAUGGUUUAAUCUGAAAACACCUCCUGGAUGCGCUGAAUGGCCAACGACAGUCAACCACACUACCUACGGUCUUCAGCACCAGCAGGGUUUGAAUCAUCAGAGCUGUCAUACUCGACCAGACUCCGAGAAGCCUGGGAAGACAGAGCAUGACCUCUCACGGUACGGGUCUCCUGGGACAUCAC
Chinchilla lanigera (long-tailed chinchilla) is the source of this 2282-nucleotide long non-coding RNA. RefSeq lists it as uncharacterized. The record is from RefSeq and is a predicted model, not a curated record. NCBI's taxonomy places the organism in Eukaryota, Metazoa, Chordata, Mammalia, Rodentia, Chinchillidae. The transcript has 4 exons.